RNAcentral lists this non-coding RNA (31 nucleotides) under Mus musculus (house mouse). Lineage: Eukaryota; Metazoa; Chordata; Mammalia; Rodentia; Muridae. The record is from RNAcentral.
UGUGAAAGUCGUAUGCCCAGCAUAGAGGUGU